RNAcentral lists this ribosomal RNA (253 nucleotides) under uncultured bacterium. Its description in RNAcentral is "partial 16S ribosomal RNA". It matches the Rfam family "Bacterial small subunit ribosomal RNA", at positions 524 to 776 of the family's 1533-position model. The record is from RNAcentral.
UACGGGGGGGGCAAGCGUUGUUCGGAAUUACUGGGCGUAAAGGGCGCGUAGGCGGCCUGCUAAGUCGGAUGUGAAAUCCCUCGGCUCAACCGAGGAACUGCAUCCGAUACUGGCGGGCUUGAAUCCGGGAGAGGGAUGUGGAAUUCCAGGUGUAGCGGUGAAAUGCGUAGAUAUCUGGAGGAAUACCGGUGGCGAAGGCGGCAUCCUGGACCAUUACUGACGCUGAGGCGCGAAAGCUAGGGGAGCAAACGGG